AAAAUGUAUCACACCGGAAGGAGGAAGGAACCUUACAGUAUUUGUUUUUCUGUUCACCAUGCCAGGUGCUACAUCAAGCAUGAGUAUGCAGUCCAGCUGAUACGCUCACCGACACUGAGGACUGCAGCUAUUCAGAACAGUGUCAUGAAACUGACACUACCCAAGCACUCUCUUGGCUUCCGUAGAGCCCUGCUUUUCUCUCACCCAGCAUCAUUGCAUCAAAUCCCUGAAGUCUCUAGAUUUCAGUGCAACUGUUGAUAACCUGUCCUUGCUUAUUGCCAGGGCCCCAUCCCUUCAAGUGCAUGUGGGAAGAGAAGUCGGAUGCUCUUUCAGUAGGCAGGUUUGUAUUAGAUUGAGGACUGUUAACAUGCUCUAGGGACAACCCACAGCCAUUGGACUCAUAGGAGGUGAUUUCUGGUCAAUUCCCAGCCUUCCUGUUCCCUAGGACAUUUCCAAGGUACAAACUGAAAAGUUCUCCAACAGGACUGAACCUCCCACUCAGUACAAAGUGAUAAGGAACUAAUUCCUGUAUCUUUUAUUAAUAUCGCUUCCUUGCCUGUCUGUCCCUGAUCCUCGUUUCUACUUCUUAAGAAGACCUCCCUCAUGAAUUUCCUCUACUUAAGUCUUUGUCAAAGAGGCUUCUUUGGAAAGAAAUAAACAAGGCCUUCCCUAAGAAUCUGUAACUGCUAUGUUUGUUAAUGGACUACAGUGUGCAUCCUACCAUUCAGUUGAGUAUUGCAAUAUCUAAGUUACUUUGGGGAUUACUCUGUGGCAUCAUAUCUCUAACUACAUGACAGAAGUUACUGGUAACACGUGUAAAUUUGCUCUUUGGAAUUCAGUUAUUUAAUAAAGCAAGAGAUAAUCUUUACCACACAUUAACAUGACCACUUUGAAAUUUGCAAGAAGCCUAAUGAUUUUACAUGAAUAUUUCAAAAUCAUUUUCCGAGGCUUCCUUCUAGCCCACUCCUGGCAGCAAUUUGCUGUUAAUUUCCUUUGUGGUCUUGAAUGAGUCCAAAGUGGUAGGUGAAGUGGUUGUGUUCUCUUUCUUUUAAAAAAUUUCACUCCAAAUCUCUUUUUGCCUACACCGAUACCUC
This 1094-nucleotide long non-coding RNA is filed under the name Fukomys damarensis (Damara mole-rat). Its description in RNAcentral is "lncRNA (ENSFDAG00000023961.1)". The record is from RNAcentral. Lineage: Eukaryota; Metazoa; Chordata; Mammalia; Rodentia; Bathyergidae.